GACAGUUCGGUCCCUAUCCUAUGCGGGCGCAGGAUACUUGAGAAGGGUCGCUUCUAGUACGAGAGGACCGAAGUGAACGUAUCUCUAGUGCACCAAUUGUCACGCCAGUGGCAUAGUUGGGUAGCUACAUACGGUUGUGAUAAGCGCUGAAAGCAUCUAAGCGCGAAGCACGCUUCAAGAUAAGGUAUCCCUUACGUAAGUAACUAAAGACUCCUCGGAGAUGACGAGGUUGAUAGGCUAUAGGUGUAAGUGCAGCAAUGUAUUCAGCCAAGUAGUACUAAUAGGUCGUGAGGCUUAUCCAU
This 302-nucleotide ribosomal RNA is filed under the name Ignavibacterium sp. RNAcentral describes it as "partial 23S ribosomal RNA". It matches the Rfam family "Bacterial large subunit ribosomal RNA", at positions 2625 to 2925 of the family's 2925-position model. Lineage: Bacteria; Pseudomonadati; Ignavibacteriota; Ignavibacteria; Ignavibacteriales; Ignavibacteriaceae. The record is from RNAcentral.